UAUGGAGGAAAACAAGAGGCGAAGGGUGCUAACAGGUCGGGAACUAACGCUGUUGUGCGAAAGCGGGGGGAUCAAGCAGGAAUGGAUACCCUGGGAGUCCACGACGUGAACGAUAAGUGCUAAGUGUUGGGGGGUUACCGCCCCUUAGUGCUGAAGCUAACGCAUUAAGCACUCCGCCUGGGGAGUACAGUCGCGAGAAUGAAGCUCAAAGAAAUUGACGAGGACCCGAACAAGCGGUGGUGCAUGUGGUUUAAUUC
This 257-nucleotide ribosomal RNA is filed under the name Staphylococcus pseudintermedius. RNAcentral describes it as "partial 16S ribosomal RNA". It matches the Rfam family "Bacterial small subunit ribosomal RNA", at positions 697 to 952 of the family's 1533-position model. Lineage: Bacteria; Bacillati; Bacillota; Bacilli; Caryophanales; Staphylococcaceae. The record is from RNAcentral.